RNAcentral lists this ribosomal RNA (394 nucleotides) under uncultured bacterium. RNAcentral describes it as "partial 16S ribosomal RNA". It matches the Rfam family "Bacterial small subunit ribosomal RNA", at positions 523 to 918 of the family's 1533-position model. The record is from RNAcentral.
AUACGGAGGAUGCGAGCGUUAUCCGGAUUCAUUGGGUAUAAAGGGUGCGUAGGCGGCCCCCCAAGUCAGCGGUGAAAUGUCCGGGCCCAACCCGGAGGGUGCCGUUGAUACUGUGGGGCUGGAGUACGGACGCCGGCGGAGGAAUGAGUGGUGUAGCGGUGAAAUGCAUAGAUAUCACUCAGAACACCGAUUGCGAAGGCAACCGCCGAGGCCGUUACUACCGCGGAGGCACGAAAGCGUGGGGAUAGAACAGGAUUAGAUCCCCUGGUAUUCCACGCCGUAAACGAUGAUGACUAACCGCCGGGGGGUAGACUUCCGGCAGCCAAGCGAAAGCGAUAAGUCAUCCACCUGGGGAGUACGGCCGCAAGGCUGAAACUCAAAUGAAUUGACGGGG